This 449-nucleotide ribosomal RNA is filed under the name uncultured prokaryote. RNAcentral describes it as "bacterial SSU rRNA". It matches the Rfam family "Bacterial small subunit ribosomal RNA", at positions 355 to 796 of the family's 1533-position model. The record is from RNAcentral.
CUAAGAAUCUUCCGCAAUGGGCGCAAGCCUGACGGAGCGACGCCGCGUGGGCGAAGAAGGCCGAGAGGUUGUAAAGCCCUUUUUUCAUAGAAGAAUAAGCCUAAGAGGUAAUGCUUGGGUGAUGACGUUAUAUGAGGAAUAAGCUCCGGCCAAUUACGUGCCAGCAGCCGCGGUAACACGUAAGGAGCGAGCGUUGUUCGGAAUUAUUGGGCGUAAAGGGCUCGUAGGCGGCCUGCCAAGUCCCACGUGAAAGACCAGGGCUCAACCCUGGGGGCGCGAGGGAAACUGGUAAGCUGGAAUCUUGGAGGGGGUACUGGAAUUCCUGGUGUAGGGGUGAAAUCUGUUGAUAUCAGGAAGAACACCGGAGGCGAAGGCGAGUACCUGGCCAAAGAUUGACGCUGAUGAGCGAAAGCGUAGGGAGCGAACAGGAUUAGAUACCCCCGUAGUCC